GCCUGGGUGGCUCAGUUGGUUGAGCAUCUGACUUUGGCUCAGGUCAUGAUCUCGCGGUUUGUGAGUUCAAGCCCCUCGUUGGGCU
RNAcentral lists this transfer RNA (85 nucleotides) under Felis catus (domestic cat). It matches the Rfam family "tRNA". From Rfam's summary of the family: Transfer RNA (tRNA) molecules are approximately 80 nucleotides in length. Their secondary structure includes four short double-helical elements and three loops (D, anti-codon, and T loops). Lineage: Eukaryota; Metazoa; Chordata; Mammalia; Carnivora; Felidae. The record is from Rfam by way of RNAcentral.